RNAcentral lists this ribosomal RNA (274 nucleotides) under uncultured bacterium. RNAcentral's name for it is "partial 16S ribosomal RNA". It matches the Rfam family "Bacterial small subunit ribosomal RNA", at positions 523 to 796 of the family's 1533-position model. The record is from RNAcentral.
AUACGGAGGGUGCAAGCGUUACUCGGAAUCACUGGGCGUAAAGCGCGCGCAGGCGGCUUGAUAAGUUGGAUGUGAAAGCCUACGGCUCAACCGUAGAACUGCAUCCAAAACUGUCAAACUAGAGUCUGGGAGGGGAAGAUGGAAUUAGUUGUGUAGGGGUAAAAUCCGUAGAGAUAACUAGGAAUACCAAAAGCGAAGGCGAUCUUCUGGAACAGUACUGACGCUGAGGCGCGAAAGCGUGGGGAGCAAGCAGGAUUAGAUACCCCAGUAGUCC